Molecule: ribosomal RNA, 293 nt
Filed under: uncultured bacterium
Lineage: Bacteria
Description: partial 16S ribosomal RNA
Rfam family: Archaeal small subunit ribosomal RNA
Source: RNAcentral
GUGCCAGCCGCCGCGGUAAUACCGGCAGCCCAAGUGAUGGCCGAUCUUAUUGGGCCUAAAGCGUCCGUAGCUGGCCGCGCAAGUCCAUCGGAAAAUCCACCCGCCCAACGGGUGGGCGUCCGGUAGAAACUGGCCGGCUUGGAACCGGAAGGCUCAGAGAGUACGUCCGGGGUAGGAGUGAAAUCCCAUAAUCCCGCACGGACCACCGAUGGCGAAAGCACUUCGAGAAAACGGAUCCGACAGUGAGGGACGAAAGCCAGGGUCUCCAACCGGAUUAGAAACCCCGGUAGUCC